RNAcentral lists this ribosomal RNA (525 nucleotides) under Microcope sp. BOLD:ADM0130. RNAcentral describes it as "partial 16S ribosomal RNA". It matches the Rfam family "Archaeal large subunit ribosomal RNA", at positions 1888 to 2684 of the family's 2987-position model. Lineage: Eukaryota; Metazoa; Arthropoda; Malacostraca; Isopoda; Munnopsidae. The record is from RNAcentral.
UCGCCUGUUUAUCAAAAACAUCUCUUGAUGUUUUUAUAUCGAGUAGGCUCUGCUCAGUGACUUUAAACAGCCGCAGUACUCUGACUGUGCAAAGGUAGCAUAGUAAUUUGUCCUAUAAUAGAGGGCUUGAAUGAAAGAGUUGACGCUACUUACUCUUUUUUUCCAAAAAAAAUAUAACUUGAUAUUUACAUCAAAAAGUGUAACUCUUUAAAGGGACGAUAAGACCCUAUAAAGCUUAAUUAAAAAUUUUUAGUUUGUAUUUAGGAAAAUAAAUUUAAAUAUUAGUUGAGCUGGGGCGGCACCUAUAGUUCAAUAGGAGAUUUAACAAUUCUUUUUGAUUUUAAAGAUCUUAUUCCAGAAAUUUAGAACAAGCUACUUUAGGGAUAACAGCACAAUCUCUCUAUAUAGACCUUAUAGAAGGAGAGGACUUGUGACCUCGAUGUUGAAUUGAGGAGCUCUAUCUAAGCAAAAAUAGAUAAGAGGGGUCUGUUCGACCUUUAUUCCCUCACGUGAUCUGAGUUCAGA